ACGGCAGGGGUGGGGGCUCCCGGCAAGCACCGCGGCCUUGCCCGCACCGGGGCCCCAAGCGGAGGACCUGGUUCUCUAAGAUCUGAUUCUUGGCAGCGUCUGUGAAUUGUAGAUAUUUCAAACAUACCCCUCAGAUGUUCUCUUCAGAGUGUGUCUUGGCUUUCAUCUUUACAGAACCAGAUGACCAGGCCUUUAUUCUGCACCACUACGGGCCAAGCGAAUAUCUGUUGCCUGGGUGGAGUAUACACGGCUACCUUUGACUAUCACUCUGACAAACCAAAAUGGAGUCCUGGGAGCUCUGGACCUUGCAGGACUCUGUCCUUUGCCCUUUUCCGAGACCCUGACUUUCCUCAAAUCCGGCCUGGGUGUCUGUGCAUCUGUUUGCUGAGGAAGUUGGUCUGGAAAGCAAGACAGGAGAGAGAACCGCGCUCAUCUCUCGGUGGUGGACUUACGGGUGAGUGUUGUUUUUUUGUUUGUUCACUUUAAAAACCAGGAUGUACAUGACUAUUAAUUUUGAAGAUAUACAGUAAUUUCUAGUAUUUGAACAAACCAUAGGAAGGGAGAUUUCCAACAGUGAUCCAUUCAUGUAGCAGAGCCACACUGAUAGACUAGUUCUUUUAUAUCGUUAGAGUAUUAAGUAGCUUUCCAGCAUGGUAGAGAAGUAUCUUUAGUGACAUCUUGAUUGUGUAACUCCACAUUAGAAAAGCAUCGAGGGGCAUGGAGAUGAUCUUAGUACACCUUAAGGUGAGAAGCCGAGGAUGAGAAGUCACUGUCCUUCAUUGCAAGAGAGAGAAGAAAACCAUUGUAGCCUGGAGCCCUUUGAUGCCGUCUGACUAAGAGAGGAUCAUUUGGCUACCCACCUUUCUAGUGGGAAGGAGCAGUCUUAGCCUCCAAUGGGAAGAGACUGUUGGGAACCCAUUGAAGAGAACCAGUUCUUGAAGGCCUUUGCCUUCACCUGUGAGUUGAGCCCUUCUACCUGUUCCUCCCAUGAUUUUUUUUAUCCCUCGUAGG
Molecule: long non-coding RNA, 1011 nt
Organism: Trichechus manatus latirostris (Florida manatee)
Lineage: Eukaryota; Metazoa; Chordata; Mammalia; Sirenia; Trichechidae
Exons: 4
Source: RefSeq, a predicted model, not a curated record